Long non-coding RNA from Homo sapiens (human), 520 nucleotides. The record is from Ensembl. Lineage: Eukaryota; Metazoa; Chordata; Mammalia; Primates; Hominidae.
CACUUGGCCACAUGGCGCGAAGCUGGGAAGACGGACACCGACCUAAGUCAGUGUUAGUCUACCACUGUACAUCUGGUAACCUCAAUCCCUGCAACCGGGGCAAAAUGGGUUUCCAGGUCUUGGCAACCUUUGAAAUUCCAAUUCCAUUUGAGAGAGCUUUGACGAGGCCAUAUGCUGAUUUCACCACCAGCAACUUCAGAACCCAGUACUGGAAUGCCAUCAGCCAGCAGGCCCCUGCCAUCAUCUAUGACUUCUAUCUGUGGCUCACUGGAAGGAAACCCAGGUGGUUAGAUAACGCUGUUAUUGACGAGAUCACACCCAAGCUGAUCAGAGAUCUGCCCAAUUCUUGCACCUACCGCAAGGCCUUGGGAGAAAUGGUGGUGCAGCAGGAGAGCAGAAAUGUAACCAUCGCCAUCAUAAGGCCCUCCACUGUGGGAGCGACGUGGCACGACCCUUUCCCAGUAAGCCCACUCACCUGAAUUCUGUAUUUUGCUUCCAAAUUAAAGUUCUUCUAGCCCAA